This 73-nucleotide transfer RNA is filed under the name Arctocephalus forsteri (New Zealand fur seal). Its description in RNAcentral is "tRNA-Asn". Lineage: Eukaryota; Metazoa; Chordata; Mammalia; Carnivora; Otariidae. The record is from RNAcentral.
UAGAUUGAAGCCAGCUGAUUAGGGUAUUUACCUGUUAACUAAGAUUUCACGGGAUGGAAGCCCACCGAUCUAG